UCAAAUCACGCUGAAACACCGGUUCUCGUACGAUCACCGAAGUUAAGCAGCGUAGAGUCAGGUCAGUACUUAGAUGGGGGACCGCUUGGGAACACCUGGUACUGUAAG
RNAcentral lists this ribosomal RNA (108 nucleotides) under Acanthosepion pharaonis. Lineage: Eukaryota; Metazoa; Mollusca; Cephalopoda; Sepiida; Sepiidae. The record is from RNAcentral.